This 253-nucleotide ribosomal RNA is filed under the name uncultured bacterium. RNAcentral describes it as "partial 16S ribosomal RNA". It matches the Rfam family "Bacterial small subunit ribosomal RNA", at positions 524 to 776 of the family's 1533-position model. The record is from RNAcentral.
UACGAAGGGGGCGAGCGUUGUUCGGAAUUACUGGGCGUAAAGGGCUCGUAGGCGGCCAACUAAGUCGGAUGUGAAAUCCCCAGGCUCAACUUGGGAACUGCAUCCGAUACUGGAUGGCUUGAAUUCGGGAGAGGGAUGCAGAAUUCCAGGUGUAGCGGUGAAAUGCGUAGAUAUCUGGAGGAAUACCGGUGGCGAGGGCGGCAUCCUGGACCGACAUUGACGCUGAUGAGCGAAAGCUAGGGGAGCAAACGGG